UUUAGUUAUUUUAAUUUUAUUUUUUGAUGUUAAAAAUACACGAUGGAUACUUAAAUAUUGAUGUUUACCUUUUUUAUUUUGAUAUUUUAUGGUGUAGAUUAACCUAAGUUAAUAUAACAAUCAAAACAGUAGGGCAUGGAAUGGCAGAUCAACAUUGUUAAUUUUCGGAUAAACUUUCUGGAUUUUGCCAAGUGAAGAACUCCAAUGAUAUACAUGUAGGGGCAUGUGUCCAAAGCUGAUCCACAUCAUAACAUACUGAUUGGGAAUAAUGACAUAGUACCAAAAGAUGUGCUUAUACUGUAAUUAGCAGAUCUUCACAAAUGAACCUGGCAGAUCCUGGUGCAACCUUACCUUACCAUAUUUACAUCUAACCGUCAGUUUGAGCUGUGUGUGGGUGGUAACACGGACUAUAUACAUGUAUUGCCCAGUAAUUGUCUUGUGAUGGACCUUUUUAACAUAUCAAGUAUUUAAUUGAAGACUUAAGAGGUCAGUUUUCAUCAAAGAAUUUAAAAAUACAGUUUUAUUUGUAAGGGUGAAUAUGUGGUUAUAAUGGCAUAAAUGUAUAUCUUGUGUCUGUUUUUUAAUCAGCCUUUCAUCCAUAAUUAUGAAUUUUAAGCAUGAUAAAGUAUUUUAAGGGAAUAUAAUGUAGACAUGUUAUGUUGUUUCUGCACAAGCAUUUGAAUACAAGAAAUUCUAUGCUCACUCAGCACUGUUUACACAUUGUCAAUGAAUUUGCUUGUUUUAGUUUCCAAAUCUGUCUGUCUCUAGCUCCCUGUGAAUAAUGUACUUUUUUACAUUGCAUCCAUUGAUUUUAAAUGGGGUGUAUUAUGCACAUGUCACACUUUUUUUACAAAAACAUUAAGGUCAAAGGUAAAAUAUAUGGGUCAAAAUCAUAACUUUUGCAAUAUUGAAGAUAGCAACUUGAUAUUUGGCAUGCAUGUGUACCUCAUGGAGCUGCACAUUUUGAGUGGUGAAAGGUCAAGUUCAUCCUUCAAGGUCAAAGGUCAAAUAUAUGGGUCAAAAUCGCUCAAAAGGGGACAUUGUGUAUUGUGUUUUACAAACACAUACCUUGUUAUGUUAUGUAAUGGCCUUUCAAUCGUCUUAUUUUUUUAUGAAAUACGCUGGAUUUGUCUUUUCAUUUCAUCCAUGAUAUCAUUAUGUUUUUUUUGCCUGUUACAUUUUGCGGCCCAAUGUAUGUGUUAAGCAGUUUAACCAUUUACAACGGCAUUUGUGGCGAGGCUUACAGUCAUAAGGUUGGUCAUUACAUGCACUGCAUAUCAUAAAAUCGUUUGGCUUUUAUUGACAAAAUUUGCGAAAACGGUGUCCAAGACUAAACAUGACAAGUGUCGCAACUUCGUCCCCACCUGGGAAUUCAGAGCGCAAAUUUCAGAUUAUAAUGUGUCAGAUUUUACACUUGUAUAAUGAAGAAGUCAUCUCUCGACAAGAUGGUGAUGUACUGAUCUCGUUCCAAGCCACACAUGAUACUUGUUUUGAUUUUAAUCAAAAUCGGUGUUAAAUAGUAAAAAUAAAAAGUGUCACAAAUUCGUCCCUAUUGAGAAGUCAGAGCUAAAAUUUCUGAUUUUAAUUUGUCAGAUUUUGCACUUUUAUAAUGAAGAAGUCAUCUCUUGACAAGAUGGUGGUGUCCUUAUCUCGUGCCGAGCCACAAAUGAUUCUUGUUUUGGUUCAAAGCAACAUAUAAACGAAGAUUUUUUUUUAAUGUACUUUGUUUUAAAUUCUGUUCUUUGAAAAAUGCAUGUACUUUGUUUUAAAUUCUGUUCUUUGAAAAAUGCAUAAUAAGUCAUCAACUAUUAUAAUUUUAUGAAAAUAUUACUUUAAUUUUGGUUAAUGCAGUUAUUGAUAUAAAUUGUUUUAACGCAUACGAUGUAGAUAACGUUCGCGAACCACAAUAGAAACGUUCGUUGAGUUCACGUUUAAACGCGACGGUCACGUUCUUACAGUGGGUAUUAUUUGUUGAUCUUACUUCACUUUAUCGACCAUUUGUCAUUUAACAGCAGAACACACGAACAAUCAAAGUAAAAUUAGAUGUAAGCGAUCGUUUUUUUCCGUUUAAGUUUCAAACAUUGGCUCGAAAAAGUGUGUGCAAAGGCUCAUUAUCGACAAUAAAGAUAACUUAAUAAUAAGCUGUAAAAACAACAAGCAACAGUUUAUGUCUUAUUAAAAUAUACGGUCAGUACAAACAUAUAUUGUAAUAUAUGCUACUAACAAUCGUUAAGUAUAAACUGUAAGCAAACAUCAACAAUAACAAUAACAGUUUGAGUAUAAAUAUAGGUGAAUGGAAAAAGUGAAAAUCAUUUAAUUGUCUUAUUCGCGAUCAUUUCGUUUCCGGUUUCCGUGCGAUAGUCCCAAAUAAGCGUCGCUCUGGCCGUAAUACAUAAUUACCGUCUUUUGAUUAUAGUCAGUAUUUGUGAACCUGAAAACGUGUUUUAUAAAUCUGGUAUCAUC
Long non-coding RNA from Dreissena polymorpha, 2463 nucleotides. RefSeq lists it as uncharacterized. The record is from RefSeq and is a predicted model, not a curated record. The transcript has 3 exons. Lineage: Eukaryota; Metazoa; Mollusca; Bivalvia; Myida; Dreissenidae.